GGGCUACUGGUAAAAUAUCACACUGCCUUGUCAAGGCAGAAUUGUGGGUUAAAACCCCGCGUAGCCU
This 67-nucleotide transfer RNA is filed under the name Gadus morhua (Atlantic cod). RNAcentral's name for it is "tRNA-Asp". It matches the Rfam family "tRNA". Rfam says of the family: Transfer RNA (tRNA) molecules are approximately 80 nucleotides in length. Their secondary structure includes four short double-helical elements and three loops (D, anti-codon, and T loops). The record is from RNAcentral. Lineage: Eukaryota; Metazoa; Chordata; Actinopteri; Gadiformes; Gadidae.